UCGGGAGUGUCAGAAUUAUAUGAGUUUGUUUUAGGAGCAGAAUAUGGGGUUUUCCUCCUCCCGAG
RNAcentral lists this transfer RNA (65 nucleotides) under Tristoma integrum. RNAcentral's name for it is "tRNA-Leu". Lineage: Eukaryota; Metazoa; Platyhelminthes; Monogenea; Capsalidea; Capsalidae. The record is from RNAcentral.